AUUGAACGCUGGCGGCAUGCUUUACACAUGCAAGUCGAACGGCAGCGCGGGGCAACCUGGCGGCGAGUGGCGAACGGGUGAGUAAUAUAUCGGAACGUACCCAGACGUGGGGGAUAACGUAGCGUAAGUUACGCUAAUACCGCAUACGAUCUACGGAUGAAAGUAGGGGACCGCAAGGCCUUAUGCUUUUGGAGCGGCCGAUACCUGAUUAGCUAGUUGGUGAGGUAAAGGCUCACCAAGGCGACGAUCAGUAGCUGGUCUGAGAGGACGACCAGCCACACUGGAACUGAGACACGGUCCAGACUCCUACGGGAGGCAGCAGUGGGGAAUUUUGGACAAUGGGCGCAAGCCUGAUCCAGCAAUGCCGCGUGAGUGAAGAAGGCCUUCGGGUUGUAAAGCUCUUUUGUCAGGGAAGAAACGGUAGAGGCUAAUAUCCUUUGCUAAUGACGGUACCUGAAGAAUAAGCACCGGCUAACUACGU
Molecule: ribosomal RNA, 481 nt
Filed under: uncultured bacterium
Lineage: Bacteria
Description: partial 16S ribosomal RNA
Rfam family: Bacterial small subunit ribosomal RNA
Source: RNAcentral